This 1279-nucleotide small RNA is filed under the name Drosophila pseudoobscura pseudoobscura. RNAcentral's name for it is "GA31489". The record is from RNAcentral. Lineage: Eukaryota; Metazoa; Arthropoda; Insecta; Diptera; Drosophilidae.
AUGCCAAUCGAUAUGCAGAUAUUCGCACUUAGAGAUGGGCGACAGCUAUCAGUGAUCGACCAUUCCUAAAAAAAAUGGCUGACUUGGCGAUUGCUGUUGAUGGCUUUUUCGAAAAUGUAUUUUUUAACUGUAAAGAUAUGGCAAAACGGUGGCUAAAGUGUCACAUGCUCCUCGGACAUUUGGACAUUACAUCGCUCGCGCGCUGCUCUGACAAAUGUAACCCCAAACAAAAGCACAUUAAUUAGCCGUACGUGUCCAUGCAUUACUGAAGUAUUUGUUGUCGUUGGUGGUGUUGGGGCACCAUAAUAGCUCUUCUGCUUCUGCUGCUGCUGCUGCUCCUCUUGUGUUGUGUGUCAAAACGAAUGAAUGCCAGAACAAAACCCAAACAUACAUAAAGCUUCAGGAUGAAUGGCCUCUUGGAGCAUACCGGAACCAGCGAGAAAGUUAAAUUGCAGAAAUCGCAAAACUUUAAUAUCCCCCAAGUCCAAAGACCAAAGUCGUGGCGAAAGUCAAAGUAAUGGAAUUGUGUAAUUAACGAGACUCUGGGGAGAAAGACCCGAUGAAACGUUCCAGCUGCUGCGGACUUUUGCUAUAACUUGAAGAUGUCUCCACCACAUCCACAUCCUUCGGACGCAGGAUGGAGUGCAAUAGAUGAAGUGCAACGACGCCCAGCAGAGGACGGAGGAGCCUGGGGGCUGGUUCCAACACCGAUUCAGAACUUAUAGGAGCAGCAUCUCCUCCGAUAUUUAUCAGAUGAAUAUUAAUUAGAAUGAUUAUGUAUUUACAUGUGUGGUCGCUUGAGAAUUGCACAUUUCUCAAGCCAAUUGUUGCUGCUUGAAAGUUUACUGAUGUUUAGCUUGGAUUGGAACACAUUUUUGAAGGAUAUUGAGAACGAGCUACCACCGAUCAAUCAGUUAGAUCCAAGUCUGAUAGAAUGAAUCAGCAUAAUCACAAUAUAAAGAUUUAAUUGGAAGUUAUCUUCCAAUACAGGCCAACAGCCUGUAGCUUUAGAUUUUAACUUUAAGUUCACAGAACAAAAACAAAAUUUAAAUACAUAUGCCUCUACUCUGAUGGAUAGAUACAUUUCAAUAAGAGUCCUUCCUGAAUCUACAGAAAAAAUUCAGAUAUAUUUGCAAUGCCUUUUACGGGAAUGUCUGGUUCUAAAAAAUAUCUGCCAUUUAUGUAUUGAACAUUGCAAGCGCAUAAAUGAUAGAUUCAUGGUGGGUUCUAAAAAAAAACAUUUAUCCUACGGCAAACAUCACAUAUUUUUUUAAAGCUU